This 1675-nucleotide long non-coding RNA is filed under the name Homo sapiens (human). RNAcentral describes it as "HSALNT0276224". The record is from RNAcentral. Lineage: Eukaryota; Metazoa; Chordata; Mammalia; Primates; Hominidae.
UUAAUAACAGCAUCAACCACAUCAUCUUCCACCAAAAGCAAACAGGAAAGCUAGUUCUGCCGCCCAGCUGGGUGGAUGUCAGCUGCAGACAGCUGCAAAUUGCCUGAACAAGGACAGAUGUAGCUUGUUUUUGCCUUUCUUUUUCCAUUUGAAAACUUUGAGAGGGGGAGAUGAGAAUGCUGUUAGGGAAAUGAAUGUGUUGAUUCUAAUUAUCCAAGCGGGCGGGCGGCAGAGGUGACAUGCAGCAAGAUGGGCUCCGAGUCAUUUACCUGGAAUGCAGCCAAGACAAGGCUGGAGAAGGCAGAAUUCCAAUGAAGCUGACACUCAGGACACUGAGCACAAAGAAGGAGGCAUCUAUGAACUCACAGGUCACAAGGUCACAGAUGACCGCCUCCUGCCUGCUGACGAUGGCUCGAUCCACGGUGGACUGUUCCAGGUACUCGAUGCGCAUCUGAGCCACCUGCAGCUGUAAUGAUGGAAAGCCAGAGAUGUUUGGAGGGACCAUGACUUCAAAGGAAGAUUUCGCAGAGGAUCGUGAUCCUGUCUUGCACAGACCAUCUCUUGUUCUUGGAGCCAUUUCUCAGACGGAGAAAAUUCUGCACUGAAUGGCUGAAUCUCAGUGCAUGGGGCACGCUUGGAUUCAGCACAAGCACAGGCCAAGAGUAAAUGAGUGUGAGUGUGUGUGCAUGUGUCUGUCUAAGGACUGGUCUCAAUUCACCUCGCACACAACUGGAAUUGAGUGAGUAUUUGAAUGAACUGAUGAAUAAAAGAAUGAAGGAAACAGUUUCCAGGAGCCAAAGUAUAAGUAAGUGCCCAGGGAGAAUCCCUCUCUUCCUCCCUGUGAUGGUUAAUACUGAGUGUCAACUUGAUUCCAUUGAAGGACACAAAGUAUUGAUCCUGGGUGUAUCUGUGAGGUUGUUGCCAAAAGAGAUUAACAUCUGAGUCAGUGGGCUGGGGAAGGCAGAUCCACCCUUAAUCUGGUGGGCACCAUCUAAUCAGCUUCCAGAGAAUAUAAAGCAGGCAGGAAAACGUGAAAAGGAGAGAGAUGGGCCUUAGCCUCCCAGCCUACAUCUUUCUCCCGUGCUGGAUGCUUCUUGCCCUUGAACAUUGAAUUCCAAGUUCUUCAGUUUUGGGACUCGGACUGGCUCUCCUUGCUCCUUAGCUUGCAGAAGGCCUAUUGUGGGACCUUGUGGUCAUGUAAGUUAAUACUUAACGUAUUUCCCAGCUGGGCCUGGUGGUUCACACCUAUAAUCCCAGCACUUUGGGAGACUGAGAAGGGCGGAUCACCUGAGGUCAGGAGUUAGAGACCAGCCUAACCAACAUGGUAGAACCCCGUCUCUACUUAAAAAACAAAAAUUAGCCAGGCAUGGUGGCGGGUGUCUGUAAUCCCAGCUACUUGGGAGGCUGAGGCGGGAGAAUCGCUUGAACCUGGCAGGCAGAGGUUGCAGUGAGCCAAGAUCGCGCCACUUCACUCCAGUCUGGGUGACAGAGUGAGACUCUUGUCUCAAAAAUAAAUAAACAAAUAAACAAACAAUAAACUCAUACACACACACACACACACACACACACACACACAUCCUAUUAGUUCUGUCCCUCUAAGAAAACCCUGACUAAUACAACUAUAGGAUGGCUCUGAGCACAUACUUGUUCUUGUAGCUUGUGCUUCUCCUUCUUG